CCCGGGAAUGCCUUGAUGCCUGAGACUUUAAUUUCUUCUGGUUUCCUUUGCAGGAGCUGCAGGUAUUCGUGAGCCGGGCUGCCCUGCAGCAACUAUUUUCAAGGCAAUAACUUGGAUGGGAUGGAGGGGCGAGAAGAGGGGUCUUUGGUCAUAGCCACAGAAGGCUGACUUUCACAGGAGACAAACAGAACACCAGCUAGCUGUCCCUUGAACAAAUGAGAGUUGAUCUGAAGACAUGGCAGGAGGAGGUGCGGCUGCCAGCUUCCUGCAGAGCUCAGUUUUGUCCCAGAUGCAGGCUCUGUUUUCCAGCCUCCACCAUCACAUGCACUUGGGGAGCUUCCUUGGUCCCUUUAUCCUCAGCCCUGGUCUCCCAGCCUUCGGCCACCUGAUGGAGUCCCCACCUCUGAGAAGCAUACCUACUGUACCCCUCGGGGUCCUGUGCAUGCAGCACAGUAUUAAAGUGUAUGUUGGCUCUCAAAAUUGUGUCCCUGGGGAACAUCUUCUAGUCAAUUUCAAAGCGGAUGUAAAAGCUCAGAGAAGACGUAGCCCAGAGUGUGAGAGAACAUUCCCAAAGUCCGCUGGGGAGUGGCUUUGUGAGCCCAGAGACUGGACAUGAGCCGAAGGGAUGGGGGAGUGCUGGGCAGGGCUCCAGGACACAUCCUCCAGCCAGGUGAGAGUGUGGAAAGGCUCACUGCAGAAUCCAGCUUGGGUGG
RNAcentral lists this long non-coding RNA (713 nucleotides) under Ictidomys tridecemlineatus (thirteen-lined ground squirrel). RNAcentral describes it as "lncRNA (ENSSTOG00000033045.1)". Lineage: Eukaryota; Metazoa; Chordata; Mammalia; Rodentia; Sciuridae. The record is from RNAcentral.